AUGUAACACUCAUACACUCCGGCUCCUGUGCGCCGUCCAUGCCCAUCUGACGGCCGUUCGCUACGUUUUGUUAGUC
RNAcentral lists this small RNA (76 nucleotides) under Xanthomonas phaseoli pv. syngonii. RNAcentral describes it as "Xanthomonas axonopodis pv. syngonii sX9 sRNA". It matches the Rfam family "Xanthomonas sRNA sX9". The record is from RNAcentral. Lineage: Bacteria; Pseudomonadati; Pseudomonadota; Gammaproteobacteria; Lysobacterales; Lysobacteraceae.